AGCUGGUAGAGACUCCAAAUUCCCAGCUGCACUUGUGCUGAAAAGCACUGUCUGGAGACAGAUGAGCGAGUCUCACUCGUUCUGCAAGGGUAACUUUUAAAAGAAACGUCAUGCAAAGUGCUCUUCUGAAAGAAAACUGACUUUUUUUGGCAUCUGGAGCAUGUGCUAGAUUGGGUUUUCAACAUCUUAUGUCCACGUACAGUAUAAUCAAUAGAGUCACUUGGAGAAACAGUAUGGUUUUCUUAAUAUCGGGACAUGUUAAAAAAAAAAAAAAAACACAAAAUACACGUUUCCAUGACUUCCUCUGAGUUCUCUACUGGCUUUUUCCAAAGAUCAAAUUCGUAAUCCUUAGCAUAAAAAAUAAAGAAAUGAAAGAAAAAAGCAUUUUGGGUCAUGCGUUCAUCAUCGGCAUAACACUUUCAAAACUAUAAUCUCGCGGAAGGUUCUGGCAGAAACCCACUCAUCUUUGUAUCAGGACCCA
Long non-coding RNA from Lynx canadensis (Canada lynx), 481 nucleotides. RefSeq lists it as uncharacterized. The transcript is spliced from 2 exons. NCBI's taxonomy places the organism in Eukaryota, Metazoa, Chordata, Mammalia, Carnivora, Felidae. The record is from RefSeq and is a predicted model, not a curated record.